This 484-nucleotide ribosomal RNA is filed under the name uncultured bacterium. Its description in RNAcentral is "partial 16S ribosomal RNA". It matches the Rfam family "Bacterial small subunit ribosomal RNA", at positions 30 to 507 of the family's 1533-position model. The record is from RNAcentral.
AUUGAACGCUGGCGGCGGGCCUAACACAUGCAAGUCGAGCGGAUGAAGGGAGCUUGCUCCUGGAUUCAGCGGCGGACGGGUGAGUAAUGCCUAGGAAUCUGCCUGGUAGUGGGGGAUAACGUCCGGAAACGGGCGCUAAUACCGCAUACGUCCUGAGGGAGAAAGUGGGGGAUCUUCGGACCUCACGCUAUCAGAUGAGCCUAGGUCGGAUUAGCUAGUUGGUGGGGUAAAGGCCUACCAAGGCGACGAUCCGUAACUGGUCUGAGAGGAUGAUCAGUCACACUGGAACUGAGACACGGUCCAGACUCCUACGGGAGGCAGCAGUGGGGAAUAUUGGACAAUGGGCGAAAGCCUGAUCCAGCCAUGCCGCGUGUGUGAAGAAGGUCUUUGGAUUGUAAAGCACUUUAAGUUGGGAGGAAGGGCAGUAAGUUAAUACCUUGCUGUUUUGACGUUACCAACAGAAUAAGCACCGGCUAACUUCGUG